UGCGAACUCCUACGGGAGGCAGCAGUGGGAAAUUUUGGACAAUGGGGGCAACCCUGAUCCAGCAAUGCCGCGCGAGUGAAGAAGGCCUUCGGGUUGUAAAGCUCUUUUGUCAGGGAAGAAACGGUAGCAGCUAAUAUCUAUUACUAAUGACGGUACCUGAAGAAUAAGCACCGGCUAACUACGUGCCAGCAGCCGCGGUAAUACGUAGGGUGCAAGCGUUAAUCGGAAAUACUGGGCGUAAAGCGUGCGCGGGCGGUUGUGUAAGUCAGAUGUGAAAUCCCCGGGCUCAACCUGGGAAUUGCAUUUGAGACUGCACGGCUAGAGUGUGGCAGAGGGGGGUAGAAUUCCACGUGUAGCAGUGAAAUGCGUAGAUAUGUGGAGAAAUACCGAUAGCGAAGGCAGCCCCCUGGGAUAACACUGACGCUCAUGCACGAAAGCGUGGGGAGCAAACAGGAUUAGAAACCCUAGUAGUCCAGAUG
Molecule: ribosomal RNA, 479 nt
Filed under: uncultured bacterium
Lineage: Bacteria
Description: bacterial SSU rRNA
Rfam family: Bacterial small subunit ribosomal RNA
Source: RNAcentral